This 121-nucleotide small nucleolar RNA is filed under the name Hordeum vulgare. Its description in RNAcentral is "Small nucleolar RNA SNORD14". It matches the Rfam family "Small nucleolar RNA SNORD14". Rfam says of the family: U14 small nucleolar RNA (U14 snoRNA) is required for early cleavages of eukaryotic precursor rRNAs. In yeasts, this molecule possess a stem-loop region (known as the Y-domain) which is essential for function. RNAcentral also lists the same sequence under 1 other name. Lineage: Eukaryota; Viridiplantae; Streptophyta; Magnoliopsida; Poales; Poaceae. The record is from RNAcentral.
UGGUGAUGAUGAUACAACUUAGGCUUGUUUCUCAAAACAUUCGCAGUUGCCGCCUAAGAGCUUUCGCCCUGCCAGGCUGGAGAGCUAAUGCUGCUAAUUCCUUCCUUGGAUGUCUGAGCCG